Molecule: ribosomal RNA, 397 nt
Filed under: uncultured bacterium
Lineage: Bacteria
Description: partial 16S ribosomal RNA
Rfam family: Bacterial small subunit ribosomal RNA
Source: RNAcentral
UAUCUUGCGCAAUGGGCGAAAGCCUGACGCAGCCAUGCCGCGGGAAUGAUGAAGGUCUUGGGCUUGUAAAAUUCUUUCACCGGGGACGAUAAUGACGGUACCCGGAGAAAAAGCCUCGGCUAACUUCGUCAUAGCAGCCGCGGUAAUACGAAGGGGGCUAGCGUUGCUCGGAAUUACUGGGCGUAAAGGGCGCGUAGGCGGACAUUUAAGUCAGGGGUGAAAUCCCAGAGCUAAACUCUGGAACUGCCUUUGAUACUGGGUGUCUCGAGUGUGAGAGAGGUAUGUGGAACUCCGAGUGUAGAGGUGAAAUUCGUAGAUAUUCGGAAGAACACCAGUGGCGAAGGCGACAUACUGGCUCAUUACUGACGCUGAGGCGCGAAAGCGUGGGGAGCAAACA